RNAcentral lists this ribosomal RNA (465 nucleotides) under uncultured bacterium. RNAcentral's name for it is "partial 16S ribosomal RNA". It matches the Rfam family "Bacterial small subunit ribosomal RNA", at positions 338 to 795 of the family's 1533-position model. The record is from RNAcentral.
CCUACGGGAGGCUGCAGUGGGGAAUAUUGCGCAAUGGGCGAAAGCCUGACGCAGCGACGCCGCGUGAGGGAUGAAGGUCUUCGGAUCGUAAACCUCUGUCAGCAGGGAAGAACGGUCACUGUGCUAAUCAGCAGUGAAUUGACGGUACCUGCAAAGGAAGCACCGGCUAACUCCGUGCCAGCAGCCGCGGUAAUACGGAGGGUGUGAGCGUUAAUCGCAAUUACUGGGCGUAAAGCGCUCGUAGGCGGUAUGUCAAGUCAAGGGUGAAAUCCCCGCGCUCAACGUGGGAACUGCCUUUGAAACUGGCAAACUGGAGUGUGUGAGAGGAUAGUGGAAUUCCAGGUGUAGGAGUGAAAUGCGUAGAUAUCUGGAGGAACAUCAGUGGCGAAGGCGACUAUCUGGCACAUAACUGACGCUGAGGAGCGAAAGCGUGGGUAGCAAACAGGAUUAGAUACCCGAGUAGUC